Molecule: ribosomal RNA, 467 nt
Filed under: uncultured bacterium
Lineage: Bacteria
Description: partial 16S ribosomal RNA
Rfam family: Bacterial small subunit ribosomal RNA
Source: RNAcentral
GAUGAACGCUGGCGGCGUGCUUAACACAUGCAAGUCGAACGGAAAGGCCCAAGCUUGCUUGGGUACUCGAGUGGCGAACGGGUGAGUAACACGUGGGUGAUCUGCCCUGCACUUCGGGAUAAGCCUGGGAAACUGGGUCUAAUACCGGAUAGGACCACAUUUUGGAUGGUGUGGUGGAAAGUUUUUCGGUGUGGGAUGAGCUCGCGGCCUAUCAGCUUGUUGGUGGGGUAAUGGCCUACCAAGGCGUCGACGGGGAGCCGGCCUGAGAGGGUGUACGGCCACAUUGGGACUGAGAUACGGCCCAGACUCCUACGGGAGGCAGCAGUGGGGAAUAUUGCACAAUGGGCGCAAGCCUGAUGCAGCGACGCCGCGUGGGGGAUGACGGCCUUCGGGUUGUAAACUCCUUUCGCUAGGGACGAAGCGUUUUUGUGACGGUACCUGGAGAAGAAGCACCGGCUAACUACGUG